UACUGAGAGCAUCACCUAAGUGCACAGUUGUCAUGACAAAGAGGAAGAUGAACUGGAGGAUUUGGGAGGUUUGGGGCACUUGAUUGAUGCCAUACUGUAGAGGACAUCCAUAGCACCAGAUACAGGUUAACUCUUCUUUCAUGUUGCUUUAGAAAGAGGUCAGAAACUGGGGAUUAAAAAAUGAGAAAGAUAGAAUGCAAGAACAUUUGAAAACAUUUCAUUGCAAAUUGCAAAUUGCGAGGAAUGAGUCAAAAUGAUAGUUUCUGAUUUAUGUGUGGGGAAGGCAAUGUAGUAGCUUCUCCAUUCAAAAGAUCCCUGAGCAAAUAAAUGAGCAAAUUCCAUUACUUGAUAACUGUUCCUUCCCAUGGGUGGGGGAUUUGUGGAAGGUACAUAGAUUUUAAUUUUUGUAAUCAUAGAGAUGUAUUUCUAUAGCUGGAUGGAGAACAGGGGAGAAGAGAAUAGUAUGUUCUAAGUCCUGACUUUCCUGAGCAAAAGGGGUAAGUUUUCACAGGAUAAAAUUAGAAUAAAGACAAUAGAGUUCUUGUAGAGUUCUUGGGCCCUAAUACUUUCUAACAGUGAGACUCUGGGCUAAUUCUUUUUACCUUAGUUUCCUCAUCUGUAAAAUGGGGAAGAUAAUAUUUGCAGUUCUACACUUCAUAGGUAAUUAUCAUGAAUACCACUCAACAUCAGCGUUAUAUCUCUCAGAAGACAUGUUAGCUCCCAUCAGUGUAUUUUAAGCACCUAUUUGAAAUCAACAACAAGCCUAUCCUUAUACAAAAGCACCUAGCACUGUACCCUGGAAAUGAGAAAUACUAAUAAGUGCUUGGCUGAGUGAACUGGCUGAUUCUUACCAACAUUCCCCCAAGCUACUUUAUCUGUAGCUUGUCCAACUAAUUUUCCUGUCCUCAAGAUGAGGAAACUGAAGCCAACAGGGUUAAGUGACUUGCAUAGGGUCACACAGUAAGUGUCUAAGGUUGGAUUUGAAUUCAUGAAGAUGAUAUCCAAGGCAUUAAAAAAACAUUCUGAGAAGGGGUGUAUAGACAUCAUCAGACUGCUAAUGGGUUUCAAGAUACUCAAAAAGGGUAAGAACCCUUCUUUUAUACUUAUCACAGUGGUAUACAAAUGUUAAUAAGGAAUGAUCUCUGGAUGCAUGGGGGUUCAUGAUCUAAGAUUGGAGCUAAGAUACAUUUAGAAAGUGGAAUGUAUAUAAUAGGAACAUAGAGACCAGGACAGAUAUUUUUUUUUGGAAUUUUUAAAUGUAUAUUUUAUUUAGAAAAUGUAUUUAACAUUUUCUAAAAUUAUAAGAUCCAAGUUUUCUCCUUCCCUCCCUGCUCCAAGGAGAUGGUAAACAAUUUGAAUUGGGUUAAAUAUAUAUUAUCAUGCAAAACUUACUUGUAAGAGAAUAUUCAUAUAAAAUCAAAACACCAAAUUAAAAACACAAAUAAACUAAAG
RNAcentral lists this long non-coding RNA (1452 nucleotides) under Monodelphis domestica (gray short-tailed opossum). RNAcentral describes it as "lncRNA (ENSMODG00000037894.1)". The record is from RNAcentral. Lineage: Eukaryota; Metazoa; Chordata; Mammalia; Didelphimorphia; Didelphidae.